GCUCAAUAACACGUGGAUAAUCUACCCUGCCGCGGGGGAUAACUUCGGGAAACUGAAGAUAAUACCCCAUAGUGAAUGCUCACUGGAACGUGGCGUUCAUAAAAGCCUUCGGGCGCGACAGGAUGAGUCUGCGGUGGAUUAGGUAGUUGGCGGGGUAAUGGCCCACCAAGCCUAUGAUCCAUACGGGUUGUGGGAGCAAUAGCCCGGAGAAUGGUACUGAGACAAGGACCAUAGCCCUACGGGGUGCAGCAGGCGCGAAACCUCUGCAAUGCGCGAAAGCGUGACAGGGGGACUCCAAGUGCCACCUUUUGGUGGCUUUUCUCGACUUCAGGAAGGUCGGGGAAUAAGAGCUGGGCAAGACCCGUGCCGGCCGCCGCGGUAAUACGGGCAGCUCUAGUGGUGUCCACGAAUAUUGGGCCUAAAGCGUGCGUAGCCGGUCCGGUAAGUCCUUGGUGAAAUCCUACAGCUUCAACUGUGGGGAAGUGCCCAGGAAACUGCUGGAACUGGGGGCCGGAAAGGUUCGAGGGUUUUCCUUGGUAAGGGGUUGAAAUCCUGUGAUCCUUGGAGGGACCUACGGUGGCGAAGGCGUCCGACUGGAACGGGCCCGACGGUGAGGCACGAAAGCUAGGGGAUCGACCCGGAUUAGAUACCCGGUUAGUCCUAGCCCUAAAUCAUGCAGGGUUUGGUGUGACGCACCUUACGAGGGGUGCGUUGUGCCGUAGGGAAGCCGUUAAACCUGCCGCCAGGGAAAGUAUGGUCGCAAGACUGAAACUUAAAGAAUUGGCGGGGGAG
This 792-nucleotide ribosomal RNA is filed under the name uncultured archaeon. RNAcentral describes it as "bacterial SSU rRNA". It matches the Rfam family "Archaeal small subunit ribosomal RNA", at positions 88 to 876 of the family's 1478-position model. The record is from RNAcentral.